RNAcentral lists this ribosomal RNA (397 nucleotides) under uncultured bacterium. RNAcentral describes it as "bacterial SSU rRNA". It matches the Rfam family "Bacterial small subunit ribosomal RNA", at positions 48 to 435 of the family's 1533-position model. The record is from RNAcentral.
UUAACACAUGCAAGUCGAACGAAGCACUUCAUAAAGCUUGCUUUAAGAAGUGACUUAGUGGCGGACGGGUGAGUAACGCGUGGGUAACCUGCCUUACACAGGGGGAUAACAGUUAGAAAUGACUGCUAAUACCGCAUAAAACAGCAGAGUCGCAUGACUCAACUGUCAAAGAUUUAUCGGUGUAAGAUGGACCCGCGUCCGAUUAGCUGGUUGGUGGGGUAACGGCCUACCAAGGCGACGAUCAGUAGCCGGCCUGAGAGGGUGAACGGCCACAUUGGGACUGAGACACGGCCCAAACUCCUACGGGAGGCAGCAGUGGGGAAUAUUGGACAAUGGGCGAAAGCCUGAUCCAGCGACGCCGCGUGAGCGAUGAAGUAUUUCGGUAUGUAAAGCUCUA